GACGAACGCUGGCGGCGUGCCUAAUACAUGCAAGUAGAACGCUGAAGAGAGGAGCUUGCUCUUCUUGGAUGAGUUGCGAACGGGUGAGUAACGCGUAGGUAACCUGCCUGGUAGCGGGGGAUAACUAUUGGAAACGAUAGCUAAUACCGCAUAAAAUGGAUUAUCGCAUGAUAAUCAAUUGAAAGGUGCAAAUGCAUCACUACCAGAUGGACCUGCGUUGUAUUAGCUAGUUGGUGGGGUAACGGCUCACCAAGGCGACGAUACAUAGCCGACCUGAGAGGGUGAUCGGCCACACUGGGACUGAGACACGGCCCAGACUCCUACGGGAGGCAGCAGUAGGGAAUCUUCGGCAAUGGACGGAAGUCUGACCGAGCAACGCCGCGUGAGUGAAGAAGGUUUUCGGAUCGUAAAGCUCUGUUGUAAGAGAAGAACGAGUGUGAGAGUGGAAAGU
This 451-nucleotide ribosomal RNA is filed under the name Streptococcus sp. oral taxon 071. RNAcentral describes it as "bacterial SSU rRNA". It matches the Rfam family "Bacterial small subunit ribosomal RNA", at positions 28 to 463 of the family's 1533-position model. The record is from RNAcentral. Lineage: Bacteria; Bacillati; Bacillota; Bacilli; Lactobacillales; Streptococcaceae.